RNAcentral lists this long non-coding RNA (424 nucleotides) under Vigna radiata. RNAcentral's name for it is "long non-coding RNA (VRAD_LNC012388)". Lineage: Eukaryota; Viridiplantae; Streptophyta; Magnoliopsida; Fabales; Fabaceae. The record is from RNAcentral.
GGAGGAGGAGCGUUUCAAAAGCUUUGGUGGGGAUGGGGGUGGGAAUACGAAGGAGAGGAAUUUGAGUCUGUGUGUUUUGACUGAGGCAGACUGUAAAAGAGUAGGUUAACUUUAGUAAAUAGGUAUAAAACGGUAAAAAAAAAAAAAAAAACAUAAAGAUUAAUUUUGUAUUUAAAAAAAAAUCCAAAAAAAUUGGGAGGUGGGAGUUGGAAUUGGGGAGGUACAGGGAGUAACUCCCAUUCUUUUUCCAGCAACCCAUAAAACCCUUAAUCCCCCAGAUACCCUUUAGUGAAAUCAGGUUUAAACCACUAAUUCCCUAAAUACCCUUUCUUAAAAUUAGGUUACCAUUUGUUAUAAUUAGGUUUAAAACCUUAAUCCUAUCGCCCUCACCCUUCAUCCCCUCACAAUGAGUUUUCAUUGUUCC